Molecule: ribosomal RNA, 253 nt
Filed under: uncultured bacterium
Lineage: Bacteria
Description: partial 16S ribosomal RNA
Rfam family: Bacterial small subunit ribosomal RNA
Source: RNAcentral
UACAGAGGUCUCAAGCGUUGUUCGGAUUCAUUGGGCGUAAAGGGUGUGUAGGUGGCGCGCUAAGUCGGGUGUGAAAUUUCGGAGCUUAACUCCGAAACUGCAUUCGAUACUGGCGUGCUUGAGGACUGGAGAGGAGACUGGAAUUCAUGGUGUAGCAGUGAAAUGCGUAGAGAUCCGGAAGAACACCGGUGGCGAAGGCGGUCUGCUGGGGUAAUGCUGACACUGAUGCGCGACAGCGUGGGGAGCAAACAGG